GAUGAACGCUGGCGGCGUGCCUAAUACAUGCAAGUCGAGCGAACGGACGAGAAGCUUGCUUCUCUGAUGUUAGCGGCGGACGGGUGAGUAACACGUGGAUAACCUACCUAUAAGACUGGGAUAACUUCGGGAAACCGGAGCUAAUACCGGAUAAUAUUUUGAACCGCAUGGUUCAAAAGUGAAAGACGGUCUUGCUGUCACUUAUAGAUGGAUCCGCGCUGCAUUAGCUAGUUGGUAAGGUAACGGCUUACCAAGGCAACGAUGCAUAGCCGACCUGAGAGGGUGAACGGCCACCCUGGAACUGAGACACGGUCCAGACUCCUACGGGAGGCAGCAGUAGGGAAUCUUCCGCAAUGGGAGAAAGCCUGACGGAGCAACGACGCGUGAGUGAUGAAGGUCUUCGGAUCGUAAAACUCUGUUAUUAGGGAAGAACAUAUGUGUAAGUAACUGUGCACAUCUUGACGGUACCUAAUCAGAAAGCCACGGCUAACUACGUG
RNAcentral lists this ribosomal RNA (497 nucleotides) under uncultured bacterium. RNAcentral's name for it is "partial 16S ribosomal RNA". It matches the Rfam family "Bacterial small subunit ribosomal RNA", at positions 28 to 507 of the family's 1533-position model. The record is from RNAcentral.